AUGAACGCUAGCGGAGGCCUAAUACAUGCAAGUCGAACGGUCCGGCACUCAACCGACCCUCAGUCUAACUGUAGGGGAAGUUGAGUGCCGGGUAGUGGCGGACGGGUGAGUAACGCGUGGAUAAUCUGCCCUUAAGUGUGGAAUAACGUACCGAAAGGUGCGCUAAUACCGCAUAAUGCCUGGCAACACAAGUUGUCCGGCCAAAGAAGGCCUCUGUUUACAAGCUUUCGCUUCAGGAUGAGUCCGCGUACCAUUAGCUUGUUGGUGGGGUAAUGGCCUACCAAGGCUGCGAUGGUUAGCUGGUCUGAGAGGAUGAUCAGCCACACUGGAACUGAGACACGGCCCAGACUCCUACGGGGGGCAGCAGUGGGGGAUCUUGCACAAUGGGCGAAAGCCUGAUGCAGCGACGCCGCGUGAGCGAAGAAGGCCUUCGGGUUGUAAAGCUCUGUCUGGAGGGACGAACAAAAUGACGGUACCUCCGGAGGAAGCCACGGCUAACUACGUG
Molecule: ribosomal RNA, 505 nt
Filed under: uncultured bacterium
Lineage: Bacteria
Description: bacterial SSU rRNA
Rfam family: Bacterial small subunit ribosomal RNA
Source: RNAcentral